This 366-nucleotide unclassified non-coding RNA is filed under the name fungal sp. Its description in RNAcentral is "partial internal transcribed spacer region". The stretch from base 1 to 46 matches the Rfam family "Eukaryotic small subunit ribosomal RNA", at positions 1786 to 1831 of the family's 1831-position model. The record is from RNAcentral. Lineage: Eukaryota; Fungi.
AAGUCGUAACAAGGUUUCCGUAGGUGAACCUGCGGAAGGAUCAUUAACACGUAUCCAAACGUUAAACCCCCCUGUGAACCUUCAGUCGUACUCGUACGUCCGUUAGAAAUGUUGUGCGUGUAAGUGGCCUGGCAUCCCCAAGCAGUUAGUGUCUGAAAGUGUCACUAACGUUAGUGUCUGAAAGUGUCACUAACAUGUGUAAGGAUGACGCAGUCACGAUCGUUGGAGGCCCACACGGCCGACGACCGGGUCACUGGGUGCAAGCCCCCUUAUCACACCCCUGCUCUAUCUAUGGUGAUCCUGCGGGAAGUCCUGCGGUCGAACGCCGAAACCGAACAACUGUUAACAAUGGAUAUCUUGGUUCUC